Molecule: long non-coding RNA, 203 nt
Filed under: Sus scrofa (pig)
Lineage: Eukaryota; Metazoa; Chordata; Mammalia; Artiodactyla; Suidae
Description: lncRNA (ENSSSCG00070006217.1)
Source: RNAcentral
CUCAGACGGGCCUGCCCUGGGCUAUGGAGGGCCCGCGCGCGCGUGUGUGUAUAUAUGGAGCUCUUGCUCUUGCCUUGCGUUUCCAAGUGGUAUUCCUUCGGUCGUCCAAUAAUAAACUCGUGAUUCUUUCCCUUCUGGUUUCGUUCUGGCUUCCUUGCUUCCUUCCUUCCUGUCCCCGUCCCUGUCCCUGUCUCUCCUUCCCU